This is a non-coding RNA of Solanum lycopersicum (tomato), 74 nucleotides long. The record is from Rfam. NCBI's taxonomy places the organism in Eukaryota, Viridiplantae, Streptophyta, Magnoliopsida, Solanales, Solanaceae.
GGCCCAUUAGCUCAGUUGGUUAGAGCGUCGUGCUAAUAACGUAAAGGUCGCAGAUUCGAGACCUGCAUGGGCCA